ACCCAGCUAGCUCAGUUGGUAGAGCAUGAGACUCUUAAUCCCAGGGUCAUGUGUUCGUACCUCAUAUUGGGUG
Molecule: transfer RNA, 73 nt
Filed under: Neotoma lepida (desert woodrat)
Lineage: Eukaryota; Metazoa; Chordata; Mammalia; Rodentia; Cricetidae
Rfam family: tRNA
About the family: Transfer RNA (tRNA) molecules are approximately 80 nucleotides in length. Their secondary structure includes four short double-helical elements and three loops (D, anti-codon, and T loops).
Source: Rfam by way of RNAcentral